Molecule: non-coding RNA, 223 nt
Organism: Pelobates cultripes (western spadefoot toad)
Lineage: Eukaryota; Metazoa; Chordata; Amphibia; Anura; Pelobatidae
Source: the annotation of a GenBank genome assembly
AGUUACUAGACUUCCUGUAAGACUUGCUCCCUCAUUUCAGAACCCUGACUCCUAUAAUCCUACUCCACCAGAACCUAUGCAAAUAGGUAAUACUCGCUUAUCUGAGGCUGAGAGACAGUACAGAAGAAGGGAGGGUCUCUGUUUAUACUGCGGGCAGAGAGGUCACCUACGUCUUAGUUGCCCUAAUCGCCCGGGAAACGCUCGCACCUAAGUUCCCUUAGAG